This 260-nucleotide unclassified non-coding RNA is filed under the name fungal sp. Its description in RNAcentral is "partial contains 5.8S ribosomal RNA, internal transcribed spacer 2, and large subunit ribosomal RNA". Lineage: Eukaryota; Fungi. The record is from RNAcentral.
CGCACAUUGCGCCCUUUGGUAUUCCGAAGGGCAUGCCUGUUCGAGCGUCAUUAUCACCCCUCAAGCCCGGCUUGGUGUUGGACCGCCGGUCAGAACUUGUUUCUGGCUCGUCCCAAAGAUAAUGACGGCGUCUGUGAGGCCCCCAGUACAUUGAGCUUUUCGUGAGCACGUACUCGGUUUGGACCCUCAGGCCCGGUCUCCCCGUAACUUUACACCUUAAAGUUGACCUCGGAUCAGGUAGGAAUACCCGCUGAACUUAA